UUAAAUUGAAGAGUUUGAUCAUGGCUCAGAUUGAACGCUGGCGGCAGGCCUAACACAUGCAAGUCGAACGGUAACAGGAAACAGCUUGCUGUUUCGCUGACGAGUGGCGGACGGGUGAGUAAUGUCUGGGAAACUGCCUGAUGGAGGGGGAUAACUACUGGAAACGGUAGCUAAUACCGCAUAACGUCGCAAGACCAAAGAGGGGGACCUUCGGGCCUCUUGCCAUCGGAUGUGCCCAGAUGGGAUUAGCUAGUAGGUGGGGUAACGGCUCACCUAGGCGACGAUCCCUAGCUGGUCUGAGAGGAUGACCAGCCACACUGGAACUGAGACACGGUCCAGACUCCUACGGGAGGCAGCAGUGGGGAA
Molecule: ribosomal RNA, 366 nt
Filed under: Escherichia coli
Lineage: Bacteria; Pseudomonadati; Pseudomonadota; Gammaproteobacteria; Enterobacterales; Enterobacteriaceae
Description: bacterial SSU rRNA
Rfam family: Bacterial small subunit ribosomal RNA
Source: RNAcentral